Molecule: unclassified non-coding RNA, 346 nt
Filed under: fungal sp.
Lineage: Eukaryota; Fungi
Description: partial internal transcribed spacer region
Rfam family: Eukaryotic small subunit ribosomal RNA (bases 1-46)
Source: RNAcentral
AAGUCGUAACAAGGUUUCCGUAGGUGAACCUGCGGAAGGAUCAUUAACACGUAUCCAACGUUAAAACCCCCCUGUGAACCUUCAGUGUGCUCGUCCAUUCUGUUAGAAAGCCGGGGUAUCUGGUAAAUCAUUGCCGAACAGUUUUGAUUCAGAAACCUUUGCAAAGAGUGGUACUUGUAGCGCGAGGCAAGUGGCCUACGCAGUAACGAUCACUAGAGGCCGACACGGCCGGUGACCGGGUCGCCGGGCUCACGCCCCUUAAUAACCUUUGCAUGAAAACGGGCCUGCGCUUAAUUGUGCGGCCACCAAACUCGAACAACUGUUAACAAUGGAUAUCUUGGUUCUC